RNAcentral lists this ribosomal RNA (451 nucleotides) under Staphylococcus aureus. Its description in RNAcentral is "partial 23S ribosomal RNA". It matches the Rfam family "Bacterial large subunit ribosomal RNA", at positions 12 to 456 of the family's 2925-position model. Lineage: Bacteria; Bacillati; Bacillota; Bacilli; Caryophanales; Staphylococcaceae. The record is from RNAcentral.
UAAGGGCGCACGGUGGAUGCCUUGGCACUAGAAGCCGAUGAAGGACGUUACUAACGACGAUAUGCUUUGGGGAGCUGUAAGUAAGCUUUGAUCCAGAGAUUUCCGAAUGGGGAAACCCAGCAUGAGUUAUGUCAUGUUAUCGAUAUGUGAAUACAUAGCAUAUCAGAAGGCACACCCGGAGAACUGAAACAUCUUAGUACCCGGAGGAAGAGAAAGAAAAUUCGAUUCCCUUAGUAGCGGCGAGCGAAACGGGAAGAGCCCAAACCAACAAGCUUGCUUGUUGGGGUUGUAGGACACUCUAUACGGAGUUACAAAGGACGACAUUAGACGAAUCAUCUGGAAAGAUGAAUCAAAGAAGGUAAUAAUCCUGUAGUCGAAAAUGUUGUCUCUCUUGAGUGGAUCCUGAGUACGACGGAGCACGUGAAAUUCCGUCGGAAUCUGGGAGGACCAU